UCAAGCGAACAAGGGCGCAGGGCGAAUGCCUUGGCACUGGGAGCCGAUGAAAGACGUGAUAAGCUGCGAUAAGCUUCGGGGAGCUGCAAAUAAGCAUUGAUCCGGAGAUUUCUGAAUGAGGAAACUCACCUGGGUUCAUACUCAGGUACGUUGUACUGAAAUUCAAAAUAGGUACAUCGGGGGAACCGCCUGAACUGAAACAUCUAAGUAGGGCGAGGAAGAGACAUCAAACGAGAUUCCGUAAGUAGUGGCGAGCGAACGCGGAAGAGGGCAAACCGGGAGUAGAAAUACUUCCGGGGUACGGACUGCUUUUAGGACUUAAUCUGUUAACCGAACGGCAUGGGAAGGCCGGUCAGAGAGUGUGAGAACCACGUAGGUGAAAACGGAAAGAGCUGCGCAGAUUCCAGAGUACGGCCAGACACGUGAAACCUGGUCGGAAGAUGGGGGGACCACCCUCCAACCCUAAAUACUACCCAGUGACCGAUAGCGUAUAGUACUGUGAAGGAAAGGUGAAAAGCACCCCGGGAGGGGAGUGAAAAAGAACCUGAAACCCUGUGCCUACAAGCACCUAGAGCGCGUCAAUGCGUGAUAGGGUACUUUUUGUAGAACGGUCCGGCGAGCGAUUGUAUGCAGCAAGGUUAAGGACUUAAGGUCUGGAGCCGAAGCGAAAGCGAGUUUGAAAAGGGCGUUAAGUUGCAUAUAAUGGGCCCGAAACCGGGUGACCUACCCAUGGUCAGGUUGAAGUGGAAGUAAAAUUCCAUGGAGGACCGAACCGACCUCCGUUGAAAAGGCGGCGGAUGAACUGUGGGUAGCGGAGAAAUUCCAAUCGAACCCGGAGAUAGCUGGUUCUCCCCGAAAUAGUUUUAGGACUAGCCUCAAGUUAGAUACCUGGAGGUAAAGCACUGAAUAGCCUAGCGGCCGAGAGGUUAGCGAAGCUUAUCAAACUCAGAAUGCCAGAGUAUUGAUGCUUGGGAGUCAGACAGUGUCAGAUAAAUGUCAUUGUCAAAAGGGAAACAGCCCAGAUCUACAGCUAAGGUCCCAAAGUCAGGUUAAGUGGAAAACGAUGUGAAGAUACGCAGACAACCAGGAUGUUGGCUCAGAAGCAGCCACUCAUUCAAAGAGUGCGUAAUAGCUCACUGGUCGAGCGUCUUUGCGCGGAGAAUUUAACGGGGCUAAACCUGACACCGAAGCUUAGGCAAUCCAGCAAUGGAUUGGGUAGGGGAGCGUUGUAUACGCGGAGAAACAGUAGCGUAAGCGGCUGUGGAGUGUAUAGAAGUGAGAAUGCCGGAAUGAGUAGCGCGAAUGCAGUGAGAAUCUGCAUGGCCGAAAGCCUCAGGUUUUUGGAGGAAGGUUCGUCCGCUCCAAGUUAGUCGGGAGCUAAGGUGAGGCCGGAAGGCGUAGCCGAUGCACAGACGGUAGAGAUUCCGUCACCACCAAAAGAGUUAAGCACAGGGACACAUUUGAAGUCUCAGAGCCGGGUGUUGGUUCCGGUAGAGAUCGAGGGAAGUUAGUACCGAAGUCUGGGAUGGAAGAUGGCGAGAAAAGCUGUGUGUAUUUCUGAGGUGCCCGUACCGCAAACCGACACAGGUAGGUAGGAAGAAGAUUCUAAGGCCAACGGGAGAAGGGUUGUUAAGGAACUCGGCAAAUUGACCCCGUAACUUCGGGAGAAGGGGUGCUCCAGAGAUGGAGCCGCAGAGAAUCGGCCCAAGCAACUGUUUACCAAAAACACAGGUUUGUGCUAAAUCGAAAGAUGACGUAUACGAGCUGACGCCUGCCCGGUGCUGGAAGGUUAAGAGGAGAUGUGCAAGCAUUGAAUCGAAGCCCCAGUGAACGGCGGCCGUAACUAUAACGGUCCUAAGGUAGCGAAAUUCCUUGUCAGGUAAGUUCUGACCCGCAUGAAAGGCGUAAUGAUUUGGGCACUGUCUC
RNAcentral lists this ribosomal RNA (1926 nucleotides) under metagenome. RNAcentral's name for it is "bacterial LSU rRNA". It matches the Rfam family "Bacterial large subunit ribosomal RNA", at positions 3 to 2022 of the family's 2925-position model. The record is from RNAcentral.